This 301-nucleotide ribosomal RNA is filed under the name uncultured bacterium. Its description in RNAcentral is "partial 16S ribosomal RNA". It matches the Rfam family "Bacterial small subunit ribosomal RNA", at positions 509 to 807 of the family's 1533-position model. The record is from RNAcentral.
CAGCAGCCGCGGUAAUACGUAGGUGGCAAGCGUUAUCCGGAAUCAUUGGGUUUAAAGGGUCCGUAGGCGGUUUAGUAAGUCAGUGGUGAAAGCCCAUCGCUCAACGGUGGAACGGCCAUUGAUACUGCUGAACUUGAAUUAUUAGGAAGUAACUAGAAUAUGUAGUGUAGCGGUGAAAUGCUUAGAGAUUACAUGGAAUACCAAUUGCGAAGGCAGGUUACUACUAAUUGAUUGACGCUGAUGGACGAAAGCGUGGGGAGCGAACAGGAUUAGAUACCCCGGUAGUCCCUGUCUCUUAUAC